This 300-nucleotide ribosomal RNA is filed under the name uncultured Spartobacteria bacterium. RNAcentral's name for it is "bacterial SSU rRNA". It matches the Rfam family "Bacterial small subunit ribosomal RNA", at positions 115 to 408 of the family's 1533-position model. Lineage: Bacteria; Pseudomonadati; Verrucomicrobiota; Spartobacteria. The record is from RNAcentral.
ACGUGGGCAAUCUGCCGAGAAGUGGGGGAUAGCUCGCCGAAAGGCGAAUUAAUACCGCAUAUGAUCAGGGACGACAUCUUCCCAACAUCAAAGCCGGGGUAACCUGGCGCUUCUUGAUGAGCCCGCGGCCUAUCAGCUAGUUGGUGAGGUAACGGCUCACCAAGGCUAUGACGGGUAGCUGGUCUGAGAGGACGACCAGUCACACUGGAACUGAGACACGGUCCAGACACCUACGGGUGGCAGCAGUCGAGAAUUUUUCUCAAUGGGGGAAACCCUGAAGGAGCGACGCCGCGUGGAGGA